This 101-nucleotide non-coding RNA is filed under the name Pantoea sp. RNAcentral's name for it is "TPP sequence". It matches the Rfam family "TPP riboswitch aptamer (THI element)". Rfam says of the family: Vitamin B(1) in its active form thiamin pyrophosphate (TPP) is an essential coenzyme that is synthesised by coupling of pyrimidine and thiazole moieties in bacteria. The previously detected thiamin-regulatory element, thi box was extended, resulting in a new, highly conserved RNA secondary structure, the THI element, which is widely distributed in eubacteria and also occurs in some archaea. Lineage: Bacteria; Pseudomonadati; Pseudomonadota; Gammaproteobacteria; Enterobacterales; Erwiniaceae. The record is from RNAcentral.
GAAAUCUUGUCGGAGUGCCCGCAAGGGCUGAGACCGUUAAUUCGGGAUCCGCGGAACCUGAUCAGGUUAGAACCUGCGAAGGGAACAAGAGUAAACAUCAU